UGCCAGCAGCCGCGGUAAUACGGAGGGUGCAAGCGUUAUCCGGAAUUACUGGGUUUAAAGGGUGCGUAGGCGGGUCUAUAAGUCAGAGGUGAAAGCUUUCAGCUUAACUGAAAAAUUGCCUUUGAUACUGUAGAUCUUGAAUUAUGUUGAGGUUAGCGGAAUGUGACAUGUAGCGGUGAAAUGCAUAGAUAUGUCAUAGAACACCAAUUGCGAAGGCAGCUAGCUAGGCAUAUAUUGACGCUGAGGCACGAAAGCAUGGGGAGCGAACAGGAUUAGAUA
Molecule: ribosomal RNA, 279 nt
Filed under: uncultured bacterium
Lineage: Bacteria
Description: partial 16S ribosomal RNA
Rfam family: Bacterial small subunit ribosomal RNA
Source: RNAcentral